This 254-nucleotide ribosomal RNA is filed under the name uncultured bacterium. RNAcentral's name for it is "partial 16S ribosomal RNA". It matches the Rfam family "Bacterial small subunit ribosomal RNA", at positions 524 to 776 of the family's 1533-position model. The record is from RNAcentral.
UACAGAGGGGGCAAGCGUUAUUCGGAAUUAUUGGGCGUAAAGGGCGCGUAGGCGGCUUGGCAAGUGGAUGGUGAAAUCCCUCGGCUUAACCGAGGAACGGCCGUCCAAAACUGCUUCGCUUGAGACCGGGAGAGGUGAGUGGAAUUCCCAGUGUAGCGGUGAAAUGCGUAGAUAUUGGGAGGAACACCAGUGGCGAAGGCGGCUCACUGGACCGGUACUGACGCUGAAGCGCGAAAGCGUGGGGAGCAAACGGG